GAUGAACGCUAGCGAUAGGCCUAACACAUGCAAGUCGAGGGGCAGCACAAGGAGCAAUCUGAGGUGGCGACCGGCGCACGGGUGAGUAACACGUAUGCAACCUACCUGUAAGCGGGGAAUAACCCGUUGAAAGACGGACUAAUACCGCAUAAUACUGGAGAUCUGCAUGGAUAUUCAGUUAAACAUUUAUGGCUUACAGAUGGGCAUGCGCAUGAUUAGAUAGUUGGAGAGGUAACGGCUCCCCAAGUCAACGAUCAUUAGGGGUUCUGAGAGGAAGGUCCCCCACACUGGUACUGAGACACGGACCAGACUCCUACGGGAGGCAGCAGUGAGGAAUAUUGGUCAAUGGACGCAAGUCUGAACCAGCCACGUCGCGUGAAGGAAGACGGCCCUACGGGUUGUAAACUUCUUUUAUACGGGAAUAAAGUGCCCCACGCGUGGGGUUUUGCAUGUACCGUAUGAAUAAGGAUCGGCUAACUCCGUGCCAGCAGCCGAC
This 496-nucleotide ribosomal RNA is filed under the name uncultured bacterium. Its description in RNAcentral is "bacterial SSU rRNA". It matches the Rfam family "Bacterial small subunit ribosomal RNA", at positions 28 to 518 of the family's 1533-position model. The record is from RNAcentral.